Non-coding RNA from Miniopterus natalensis, 462 nucleotides. The record is from RefSeq and is a predicted model, not a curated record. NCBI's taxonomy places the organism in Eukaryota, Metazoa, Chordata, Mammalia, Chiroptera, Miniopteridae.
ACUCCACAGGCUCGCCCUGGCGGAAGCCUCCUCUCAGGUCGGAAUGGUGUCAUUCUUGGCAGCUGUCUCUCUCUGGCUUAUAGUCACAAGCUCCCGGGGGGCCUUCUCAUGUCUGCCACCAUAUUCCCGACAUCUAGAAUCAUGCCUGGCACCCAGUAGGUGCUAAGUAAUUAUUUGCUCCCCGUCCUCUGCAGACCUCAGGGUGUGACAGUUCUGAUCAGGCCGCAGCUUGCUGGCUCUGACCGUCCUCACGGCCAUGGCUCGUGUAGGUAAAACAUCACAGUGCGGACUCGCAACCUCCUUCCCCCAGAACCCGAGAGAGUGUGGCUUUUGUGCCUAAUCGAGGACCCCAGAUGCAGCUGUGCCCAGGGGUUGUGUCACAGACUCAAAAGAGUAAUUGCCUGGAAAUGAGACUGGCUCAAAAUAUCUCCAAUGUGACAAUAAAAUUCUGUUACCACAGAA